Molecule: ribosomal RNA, 253 nt
Filed under: uncultured bacterium
Lineage: Bacteria
Description: partial 16S ribosomal RNA
Rfam family: Bacterial small subunit ribosomal RNA
Source: RNAcentral
UACGUAGGGCGCGAGCGUUGUCCGGAAUUAUUGGGCGUAAAGAGCUCGUAGGCGGCUUGUCACGUCGGGUGUGAAAGCCCGGGGCUUAACCCCGGGUCUGCAUUCGAUACGGGCUAGCUAGAGUGUGGUAGGGGAGAUCGGAAUUCCUGGUGUAGCGGUGAAAUGCGCAGAUAUCAGGAGGAACACCAAUGGCGAAGGCAGAUCUCUGGGCCGUAACUGACGCUGAGGAGCGAAAGCAUGGGGAGCGAACAGG